GAAGAGACUUCUUUCAAAAAUAUCAAUAUCAACCUCAGACUUGAUGAAUGAUCGUUUAUAUGAUCGUGAAGUGACUGAUAAUCAUUAUGUGUGUCACAUGACAUGAAAAGGUUUAAUGCAAAGAACAAGCUUAACUCAGAUACCUGUAACUCAAGCAGAGAAACUGUUCCUUAAUCUCUCUCUCUCUCUCUCUCUCUCUCUCUCUCUCUCGGUUUUCCUGGCACUAGGAUAAACAUGAUGUGCACAUUCCUGAGGUUGCUAUGGAGACGCUAAGAAAGCACAGCUGGACCUGGAGAAUAUGAAGAACGAUGACACAUUCUGACAGCUACAGCAUUCGGACCGGCUGGGCGAAUGUCAAACCACUGAAGAUGACUUUCACUGCAUGAACCGCCGGCCUGAUGCUGUUCGUCUGCAGCAGAGCCGUGCAACUGUGGUUCCAGCAUGAGGUCGCGACCCCGCAGAGUGCUGGGAGCUUGGAAACCCAGAGCAGAACUGCUUACAAAUCACUAAUUAGCACAGGAGGCGGUCAGCAGCGGGUCUGGGGGGCUGUGAGGUGUGUCAGCGAGUCUGGAUCCACAUGUCCCGUAAAUCCCUGCUGCUUUCAUGUGUGUGCUUCAAAUCCUAUCCGCCUGGAGAGUUUGACACAGAGCCAAUUAAUGCAGAAGCAGCAGAAGCGCAGCGGUCCAAACACACAUCCCUCCAAAUCCUCUCCACCCAUCUCAGCUCAUCUCUCUC
This 735-nucleotide long non-coding RNA is filed under the name Carassius auratus (goldfish). Its description in RNAcentral is "lncRNA (ENSCARG00000042871.1)". Lineage: Eukaryota; Metazoa; Chordata; Actinopteri; Cypriniformes; Cyprinidae. The record is from RNAcentral.